UAGGGAAUAUUGGACAAUGGGCGCAAGCCUGAUCCAGCCAUGCCGCGUGAGUGAAGAAGGCCCUCGGGUUGUAAAGCUCUUUUAUUGGGGAAGAAAAGCAGUCGGUUAAUACCUGAUUGUCCUGACGGUACCCAAAGAAUAAGCACCGGCUAACUUCGUGCCAGCAGCCGCGGUAAUACGAAGGGUGCAAGCGUUACUCGGAAUUACUGGGCGUAAAGCGUGCGUAGGUGGUUUGUUAAGUCUGAUGUGAAAGCCCUGGGCUCAACCUGGGAAUGGCACUGGAUACUGGCAAGCUAGAGUGUGGCAGAGGGUAGUGGAAUUCCUGGUGUAGCAGUGAAAUGCGUAGAGAUCAGGAGGAACAUCCGUGGCGAAGGCGACUGCCUGGGCCAACACUGACACUGAGGCACGAAAGCGUGGGGAGCAAACA
Molecule: ribosomal RNA, 427 nt
Filed under: uncultured Thermomonas sp.
Lineage: Bacteria; Pseudomonadati; Pseudomonadota; Gammaproteobacteria; Lysobacterales; Lysobacteraceae
Description: bacterial SSU rRNA
Rfam family: Bacterial small subunit ribosomal RNA
Source: RNAcentral